RNAcentral lists this ribosomal RNA (217 nucleotides) under uncultured Clostridiaceae bacterium. RNAcentral describes it as "partial 16S ribosomal RNA". It matches the Rfam family "Bacterial small subunit ribosomal RNA", at positions 117 to 334 of the family's 1533-position model. The record is from RNAcentral. Lineage: Bacteria; Bacillati; Bacillota; Clostridia; Eubacteriales; Clostridiaceae.
GUGGGUAACCUGCCCUGUACACACGGAUAACAUACCGAAAGGUAUGCUAAUACGGGAUAAUAUAUGAGAGUCGCAUGGCUUUUGUAUCAAAGCUCCGGCGGUACAGGAUGGACCCGCGUCUGAUUAGCUAGUUGGUGGGGUAGUGGCUUACCAAGGCUUUGACGGGUAGCCGGCCUGAGAGGGUGACCGGCCACAUUGGGACUGAGAUACGGCCCAG